Molecule: non-coding RNA, 81 nt
Organism: Paragonimus skrjabini miyazakii
Lineage: Eukaryota; Metazoa; Platyhelminthes; Trematoda; Plagiorchiida; Troglotrematidae
Source: the annotation of a GenBank genome assembly
GGCUUUGUACUUCAGCUGGUAGAGCGCUUGCCGCGUUAAGGCAUGGCGUUUCUGUCGCUGGUUUUAAUCCAGCCGAAGCCC